GCCGCCAUAGCUCAGUCGGUUAGAGCGUGGGCCAAGGCCCAAGGUCGCCCAAGGCCCAAGGUCGCCCAAGGCCAAGGUAAGCCCAAGGUCGCAGGUUCGACCCCUGCUGGCGGCA
Molecule: transfer RNA, 115 nt
Organism: Caenorhabditis elegans
Lineage: Eukaryota; Metazoa; Nematoda; Chromadorea; Rhabditida; Rhabditidae
Source: Ensembl